UACGUAGGGUGCAAGCGUUGUCCGGAAUUAUUGGGCGUAAAGAGCUCGUAGGCGGUCUGUUGCGUCGGCUGUGAAAACCCGGGGCUCAACUCCGGGCCUGCAGCCGAUACGGGCAGACUAGAGUUCGGCAGGGGAGACUGGAAUUCCUGGUGUAGCGGUGAAAUGCGCAGAUAUCAGGAGGAACACCGGUGGCGAAGGCGGGUCUCUGGGCCGAUACUGACGCUGAGACGCGAAAGCGUGGGUAGCAAACAGG
Molecule: ribosomal RNA, 253 nt
Filed under: uncultured bacterium
Lineage: Bacteria
Description: partial 16S ribosomal RNA
Rfam family: Bacterial small subunit ribosomal RNA
Source: RNAcentral